CGUUAUGGCGGCUGUGUGUGGGCAGACUUCGGUCUGGCCGGGUUUUUCUAUUUUUUUACCGGUUUCUCACCCCGCACAUAGCUGCCACCCCU
This 92-nucleotide non-coding RNA is filed under the name Pseudomonas lini. The record is from RNAcentral. Lineage: Bacteria; Pseudomonadati; Pseudomonadota; Gammaproteobacteria; Pseudomonadales; Pseudomonadaceae.